RNAcentral lists this ribosomal RNA (365 nucleotides) under Candidatus Jacksonbacteria bacterium RIFCSPLOWO2_02_FULL_44_20. RNAcentral describes it as "bacterial LSU rRNA". It matches the Rfam family "Bacterial large subunit ribosomal RNA", at positions 2528 to 2908 of the family's 2925-position model. Lineage: Bacteria; Candidatus Jacksoniibacteriota. The record is from RNAcentral.
GAUGUCGGCCCGUCGCAUCCUGGGGGUGAAGAAGCUCCCAAGGGUUUGGCUGUUCGCCAAUUAAAGCGGCACGCGAGCUGGGUUCAGAACGUCGUAAGACAGUUCGGUCUCCUAUCUGUCGCGGGCGUAAAGAUUUGAGGGGGCGCUUCCCUAGUACGAGAGGACCGGGAAGCACGAACCUCUGGUGUACCAGUUGUUCCACCAGGAGCAUUGCUGGGUAGCUACGUUCGGUUAGGAUAAGCGCUGAAAGCAUCUAAGCGCGAAGCCGUCCCCAAGAUUAGAUCUUAGAAAUCCUUCAAGAUUAGAAGGUUGAUAGGCUCUAGGUGGAAGCUCCGCAAGGAGUGUAGCCGAGGAGUACUAAUCAU